UACGUAGGGUGCAAGCGUUAAUCGGAAUUACUGGGCGUAAAGCGCACGUAGGCGGCUUGCCAAGUCGGACGUGAAAUCCCUCAGCUCAACUGAGGACGUGCAUCCGAAACUGGCGAGCUUGAGUACUGAAGAGGAUCGCGGAAUUCCCGGUGUAGAGGUGAAAUUCGUAGAUAUCGGGAGGAACACCAGUGGCGAAGGCGGCGAUCUGGGCAGAUACUGACGCUGAGGAGCGAAAGCGUGGGUAGCAAACAGG
RNAcentral lists this ribosomal RNA (253 nucleotides) under uncultured bacterium. Its description in RNAcentral is "partial 16S ribosomal RNA". It matches the Rfam family "Bacterial small subunit ribosomal RNA", at positions 524 to 776 of the family's 1533-position model. The record is from RNAcentral.